GACAUUACAUUAUUUUAUAGAAGUUUCUCUCUAUAUUUUUGUCUUGAAAAACUUAACCUCAAAGGCAUUUCGACGUGAGAUAACCUCACUAUAUUCAAUAGUUUAUUAUUAUUUUCAAGUAAAUGUUUAGUUUGCCGCAAACUUAAUAUUUUAUUCAAACUAAACUCUACACUUUCUGCAAUAUGUUUUAAAUAAUGGUAACUUGUAAUUUAAACAGGCAGGCAAGGAGGCAAGAUGUUCUUUCUCAAGUACAGUAACUUGAGUUAUUAACUUAGUGGUGUUUCAAAAAAGAUACACUUGGAAUUAAUUAUCAAUUCUUUAGUGUUAUAUAUUAGAUUUCUUAUCUAAUACAACUUUUAUUUGAAACUAAAACUAAUAAUAUUGAGUAAGUUAAAGCUUAUAAAUGGAUGCAUGCCCAGUUUUAGCUGCAUUGGGAAAUCCCCUCUACGAUAUGAGUGUUCAAGUAGAAAAUGACUAUUUUAUUGAAAAGUAUGGAUUGAAUCGUGAUGGACAGCUGGAAAUAGACUCUACCACCUUGGAAGUUAUUUCUUCCGAUAUAAAAAAGAAAGAAUUGUCAUUUAGCAGCAGUCCUGGAGGUACCUCUCAAAACACACUCCGUGUCUACCAAUGGCUCACUGACCAACCGUUCAAAACUGUUAUCUUUGGCUCAGUGGGAGAUGAUGAAAAUGGCAUACUAUUGAAAGGCAAAGUCGAAGACGAUUCUGUUGUUACCAGCGGUUCAUUUGUGAGCCCAAACCACCAACUUCAUGUACCACCCCUUUGGUUCCACAACUUUAUGUAACACCGCAUCAAGACACCCGUUCAGAUGACAGGUCUAGGGACGUAAGAUGUCGCCGUCAAGCCAAAUUCAACCGGUAAAAGUUCACCGCCAAAAACAAGGUACGCCAAAAACCCUGGAAAACCAACUGGAACCACGAUUUGUUUUAUAAAUGGAGUAAUAAGAACACUGAUUGCCCACUUGGGAGCAGCCAAAUCAUACCCUAUCAAUGCGUUCUCAGUGCCUGAAAAUCUAUCAGUUUUUUCAAGAUUACAAGUUCUCUACAUAGAGGGAUUCUUUGUUAUGCAUGACAUUGAGACGGCAGUGAAAGCUGUAUCAUUGUGUUAUCAAAAUGGAAUUUCGGUAUCUUUUAAUUUGAGUGGUGUUUAUAUAUUAGAGAAAUUCCACAAAGAAGUACUCUACUUGGUUACGCUAGCUGAUAUUGUAGUUGGUAAUAGGUCAGAAUACACUGCAGCUGCAAAAUAUUUCAACUGUAAAAAUAAUGAGGAUCUGAAACAAGUCAUGAGUGAUCUGAAAUCUUUAAAAAUCCCUUCUCCAAUCCAGGAGAAGUCUGAUUACCCGUUAGACAUUAAAAGAGAACUUAGGAACAAAAUAGUAGCUGAAAAUAGAAAGAUAUUACUAAUGACUCAAGAUAAGGAUCCUGUAAUGUGUCUGUACGGCAAAGAUACAUUUUUGAAAGUAGAAGUUGAUAGAAUUGAGGAAAGUCUUAUCAAAGAUACAACAGCCGCUGGAGAUUCAUUUUUUGCUGGAUUCAUAGCUGGAAUAAUUGCUGAAAAGAGUAUUGCAGAUAGCAUUGAAUUAGGGAAUCGAACUGCUAGAAUGAUUAUUCAGCAAAUUGGAUGUACUUUGCCUAGAAAGAAUUCGGAGUAUGAGUUAAGAGUUUAGUGACUACAUUUCAUACAUGAGAAAUCUUGUAUUUGGGAAUCUCAUAGAAAGAAACUUUUAUUACGAGCAAUUAUUAUGAAUUAGUGCAAUAAAUUUACCCUAUUGGGAUUAUUUUGAUGUUAAAUAAAUGGAUCUGAUCAAGAAAA
Molecule: RNA transcript, 1830 nt
Organism: Nilaparvata lugens (brown planthopper)
Lineage: Eukaryota; Metazoa; Arthropoda; Insecta; Hemiptera; Delphacidae
Gene name: adenosine kinase
Exons: 4
Source: RefSeq, a predicted model, not a curated record